UGAGGAAUAUUGGUCAAUGGGCGAGAGCCUGAACCAGCCAAGUAGCGUGCAGGAUGACGGCCCUAUGGGUUGUAAACUGCUUUUAUAUGGGGAUAAAGUGGGGAACGUGUUCCCUUUUGCAGGUACCAUAUGAAUAAGGACCGGCUAAUUCCGUGCCAGCAGCCGCGGUAAUACGUAUGGGGCGAGCGUUGUCCGGAAUUAUUGGGCGUAAAGGGUACGUAGGCGGUCUAUUAAGUCAGGUGUGAAAGCGUGAGGCUUAACCUCAUUAAGCACUUGAAACUGAUAGACUUGAGUGAAGGAGAGGAAAGUGGAAUUCCUAGUGUAGCGGUGAAAUGCGUAGAUAUUAGGAGGAAUACCGGUGGCGAAGGCGACUUUCUGGACUUUUACUGACGCUCAGGUACGAACGCGUGGGGAGCAAACAGG
This 423-nucleotide ribosomal RNA is filed under the name Verrucomicrobiota bacterium. Its description in RNAcentral is "Verrucomicrobia bacterium partial 16S ribosomal RNA". It matches the Rfam family "Bacterial small subunit ribosomal RNA", at positions 355 to 776 of the family's 1533-position model. Lineage: Bacteria; Pseudomonadati; Verrucomicrobiota. The record is from RNAcentral.